This 73-nucleotide transfer RNA is filed under the name Canis lupus familiaris (dog). RNAcentral describes it as "tRNA-Lys (CTT) (tRNA-Lys-CTT-23-1)". It matches the Rfam family "tRNA". From Rfam's summary of the family: Transfer RNA (tRNA) molecules are approximately 80 nucleotides in length. Their secondary structure includes four short double-helical elements and three loops (D, anti-codon, and T loops). Further hydrogen bonds mediate the characteristic L-shaped molecular structure. tRNAs have two regions of fundamental functional importance: the anti-codon, which is responsible for specific mRNA codon recognition, and the 3' end, to which the tRNAs corresponding amino acid is attached (by aminoacyl-tRNA synthetases). tRNAs cope with the degeneracy of the genetic code in two manners: having more than one tRNA (with a specific anti-codon) for a particular amino acid; and 'wobble' base-pairing, i.e. permitting non-standard base-pairing at the 3rd anti-codon position. Lineage: Eukaryota; Metazoa; Chordata; Mammalia; Carnivora; Canidae. RNAcentral also lists the same sequence under 1 other name. The record is from Rfam by way of RNAcentral.
ACCUGGCUGGCUCAGUCAGUAGAGCAUGUGACUCUUGAUCUCAGGGUUGCAGGUUCAAGCCCUGCAUUGGGUA